CGAACGCUGGCGGCGUGCCUAAUGCAUGCAGUCGCACGCGCUUGCUUUCGGGCAGUGAGUGGCGCACGGCUGAGGAACACGUGGGUACCAACCCUGGCGUGGGGGACAACCAACCGAAAGGUAGGCUAAUCCCGCAUACGCUCCUUCGGGAGGAAAGUGGCAACACGCGCCAGGACGGGCCUGCGGCCCAUCAGGUAGUUGGUGAGGUAAUGGCUCACCAAGCCAGUGACGGGUCCCUGGUCUGAGAGGACGACCAGGCAGACUGGGACUGAGACACGGCCCAGACUCCUACGGGAGGCAGCAGCAAGGAAUUUUCCGCAAUGGGCGCAAGCCUGACGGAGCAACGCCGCGUGCCGGAAGACGGCCUUCGGGUUGUAAACGGCUUUUGUCGGGGAAGAGAUGGACGGUACCCGACGAAUAAGCCCCGGCUAACUCCGUGCCAGCAGCCGCGGUAAGACGGAGGGGGCAAGCGUUGUCCGGACUCACUGGGCGUAAAGGGUGCGUAGGCGGUACAGAGCGUCGACACUGAAACCUCCUGGCUCAACCAGGAGACGCGUGGCGAUACGACUGAACUCGAGGCAAGGAGAGGUGCGCGGAAUUCCGGGUGUAGUGGUGAAAUGCGUAGAUAUCCGGAGGAACCGUCGGUGGCGUAAGCGGCGCACUGGUCUUGACCUGACGCUGAGGCACGAAAGCGUGGGGAGCGAACCGGAUUAGAUACCCGGGUAGUCCACGCAGUAAACGAUGUCGGCUCGGUGUGCAGUGGUGUAAUACACACCCACCGCGUGCCCCAGUUCACACGGGUAAGCCGACCGCCCUGGGGACUACGAGCGCAAGCUUAAAACUCCAAGGGAUUGACGGGUGCCCGGCACAAGCAGCGGCAGCGUGUGGUAUAAUUCGACGCAACGCGAAGAACCUUACACAGGUCUGACAUGGUACUGCAAGCGCACGGANACGUGUGACCUUCGAGGGUGUACCACAGGUGCUGCAUGGCUGUCGUCAGCUCGUGUCGUGAGAUGUUGGGUUAAGUCCCGCAACGAGCGCAACCCUCGCUGCCAGUUACUCGUGUCUGGCGGGACAGCCCUCUUUGAAGGGGGAGGAAGCCGGGGAUGACGUCAAGUCAGCAUG
RNAcentral lists this ribosomal RNA (1125 nucleotides) under uncultured organism. Its description in RNAcentral is "bacterial SSU rRNA". It matches the Rfam family "Bacterial small subunit ribosomal RNA", at positions 30 to 1197 of the family's 1533-position model. The record is from RNAcentral.